RNAcentral lists this long non-coding RNA (805 nucleotides) under Setaria viridis. RNAcentral's name for it is "long non-coding RNA (SVIR_LNC003416)". Lineage: Eukaryota; Viridiplantae; Streptophyta; Magnoliopsida; Poales; Poaceae. The record is from RNAcentral.
GGCAAACCUGCUUGCGCGGUGGUUUUGAGGCCAAACUACCCAAACCAUCCAUCUUCGCUUGGCUACCACGCGACCUCCUCGAUGUUGAUGCGUGCCCAGCCUCCGCCAAGCCUCCUGCCUGACUCGUCCAAUAUUGUCUCCAUCCCGCCAUGUCCUCUUGCUUUUUCGUGCACCAUGUGGACCUCCCAUGACUCCGCCUGGUUUCUUCAGGUCCAUCGGUCCAAGCCUACUCGCGUUCAUCCUUCAUCGCCCUUGGUCCAUCGGCAUGAACCUUUCAUUUGACCUUCACCGCGCACCAUCGGCCGCCACACCGCAUCCAACACCUGCACAUCACAAGCCAAGAGCAACAUCAAACCAACACAACGUUAUCAAUCACUCAUCAUUCCAGGGUGACCACCAUUGGUCCUCAAUCUCCCCCUUGAUGAGUGCAUUAACAACACCCCACAAAUUUAUAGUUUGAAAAAGAAAACAAGAAUCUCGAAAAGAAAAUCUCAGUCCCCUAAGAUAAGGGCAACAGCUCUACACGACUGAGAUAAAAUCAUGUGAUCCCUCAAGAAGAGACAGAAAACGAGCUCAACACCAAUCACAUGAAAAUCCAAACUCAAAUCACACACCGGCUCCUCAAGAAGAGGUAAGCAGCUCAACGCGACUGGCAAAAGACACAGGAGCAUAAAAACUCAUAGAGACUCCCCCUGAACAAAUGCACUCCCCCUGAAACCAAGACAUGCAAAGGCAAAGUUCUCCCCCUUGUGAAACCAAAGCAUGAAUUUGUGUGCAAUUCUCCCAAAAUUCUCCAAAUAUCUCC